This 497-nucleotide ribosomal RNA is filed under the name uncultured bacterium. RNAcentral describes it as "partial 16S ribosomal RNA". It matches the Rfam family "Bacterial small subunit ribosomal RNA", at positions 28 to 507 of the family's 1533-position model. The record is from RNAcentral.
GAUGAACGCUGGCGGCGUGCCUAAUACAUGCAAGUCGAGCGAACGGACGCGAAGUUUGCUUCUUUCACGUUUGCGGCGCACGGGUGAGUAACACGUGUAUAAUCCACCUAUAAGACUGGUAACUUUACGGGAAUCCGGCGCUUACACCGGAUAAUAUCUUGAACCGCAUGGUUCAAAAGUGAAUGACGGCCUUGCUGUCUCUAAUAGAUGGAUACGCGCUGGAUUAGCUAGUUGUUAAGGUAACGGCUUAUCACGGCAACGAUGCAUAGCCGACCUGAGAGAGUGAUCGGCCACACUAGAACUGGGACGCGGUCCAGGCUCCUACGAGAGGCAGCAGUAGGGAAUGUUACGCAAUAGGGGAGAACAUGACGGAGCGACGCGGCGUGAGUGAUGAAAGUCUUCGGAUCGUGAAGCUCUGUUAUUAGGGAAAAACAGAUGUGUAAGUAACUGUGCACAGCGUGACGGUACCUAGUCAGAAAGCCACGGCUAACUACGCG